RNAcentral lists this long non-coding RNA (361 nucleotides) under Brassica rapa (field mustard). RNAcentral describes it as "long non-coding RNA (BRAP_LNC006673)". The record is from RNAcentral. Lineage: Eukaryota; Viridiplantae; Streptophyta; Magnoliopsida; Brassicales; Brassicaceae.
GUUAAGUAUACGAACAUCACAAAUUCAAACAUCACAAAAAAUAUUUACAUAAACAAUAUUCAAAAGAAUAGUUAUAUACUUAAUAUUUCAAAAUCAAAGAUAUUUUUGCUAAAAUUGUACUUACCUGGCCAAGGAGAUCGAUCAUCUUUUUACGGAUCAAUCGAUUGUUGAGCAUGUGGUCGAUCCAAAAAUAUUCUGCAGUUUAAUUAAAUAUUUAAAGCAUUUAUUCCAACACUCAACAUAUAGUUUUGCUAAAUAUGAUAACUAGACAGCCAACAAAAUUAUAAAAAAAUAUUUAAAUAGUAAAAAAUAUGUUAAUUUAACGUGUUAAAAUUUAAAAACAAAUUUUAAUUAUGACAUG